AAGGAUCAUUAUCGAGUUAGGGUCCUCUGGGCCCCAUCUCCAACCCUUGUCUAUUCUACCAUGUUGCUUCGGCGGGCCCGUCCUCAACCGGACCGCUGGGGAGCUAUAUCCCUGGCCCGUGCCCGUCAGUAGGCCCGAUAAAUUCAUCUCACAGUGACGUCUAAGCCAAACUAUAACAAACAAAACUUUCAACAACGGAUCUCUUGGUUCUG
Molecule: unclassified non-coding RNA, 212 nt
Filed under: uncultured fungus
Lineage: Eukaryota; Fungi
Description: partial contains 18S rRNA, ITS1, 5.8S rRNA, ITS2 and 28S rRNA
Source: RNAcentral